UAUGUAGUUAGAUCCAACACAACAACCUCACAUGAUCUUGAGGACCCAAGUGAGAUUCUUGGAAGUUGAUAAACCCCAUUUGAGAUUUUUGAAUUUGCCUAGUUGUAAUUCAACUCCAAAAUUGAAAGCCUGGAAGGGACCAAUGACCCUGACCAAGGAAGUGGUGGAUGAAAAAGAGAUGAGUGCUGUCACUGAACAUGAAUCGAAUGAAUUCACUACGUUGAAACAUAGAUUUUUGAAUUUCAAGAAGGACAAAUAUUUGAAAAAUUUGGAGCAUUAUCAGAGUCUUGCAGACGAACAAUCACCAAAAUUUUUGGUAAUCUCUUGUGCAGACUCUCGGGUGUGUCCCUCAAACAUACUGGGAUUUCAACCAGGAGAAGCCUUUAUAGUCCGCAAUAUCGCAAAUUUGGUGCCUCCUUAUGAGACUGAUCCUUCAGAAGUAAAGGCAGCUCUUGAGUUUUCCGUUAAUACUCUCAAAGUCGAAAACAUAUUAAUCAUUGGUCAUAGUCGCUGUGGAGGCAUUCGUGCUUUAAUGAGCAUGGAUGAUGAAACAAAUUCAAGCUUCAUUCGGAGUUGGGUAAUUAAUGGAAAAGCUGCCAAGACAAGAACAAAAGCUGUUGCUUCCAACCUCAGCUUUGACCAUCAAUGCAAGCACUGCGAGAAGGAAUCGAUCAACUGCUCAUUGAUGAAUUUGCUUACAUACCCAUGGAUUAAGGAGAAGGUGAAUAAAG
RNAcentral lists this unclassified non-coding RNA (731 nucleotides) under Hevea brasiliensis (rubber tree). The record is from RNAcentral. Lineage: Eukaryota; Viridiplantae; Streptophyta; Magnoliopsida; Malpighiales; Euphorbiaceae.